AUGACUGUGACGGAUGAAGAAUGAAGACAGGGAUGGGCUCAGCAACCUUCAGGGGUGAAGAGAGACCUUCAGCAAGGUCAAGAACAUCUGAAAUGACUGGCUUAAGCUACAGCAGCUCUUGUUUUCUAGUCUGGUCCUGUGUUUCACCUGGCUCCUACUUGGCAUGUGAUACAGUAAUUGUCUUAUUCGCAUUCCUGUCUUCUUUGCUUGUUAGGUGAGUUUGU
RNAcentral lists this long non-coding RNA (224 nucleotides) under Calidris pygmaea (Spoon-billed sandpiper). RNAcentral's name for it is "lncRNA (ENSCPGG00000003618.1)". The record is from RNAcentral. Lineage: Eukaryota; Metazoa; Chordata; Aves; Charadriiformes; Scolopacidae.